UGGUGGGUUGCCUUGUCAGGUUGAUUCCGGUAACGAACGAGACCUCAGCCUGCUAAAUAGUCAGCCUCGCACCUGCGGGGCGCAGACUUCUUAGAGGGACUAUUGGCGUUUAGCCAAUGGAAGUAUGAGGCGAUAACA
This 138-nucleotide ribosomal RNA is filed under the name uncultured eukaryote. RNAcentral describes it as "partial 18S ribosomal RNA". It matches the Rfam family "Eukaryotic small subunit ribosomal RNA", at positions 1299 to 1458 of the family's 1831-position model. The record is from RNAcentral.